UUUAGACUUGAGAAAGGAACCAGAAAUUGUUGUUCCUUAUAAUGAGGGCCAAAGGAUCUCAGGGAAGUGAAAUAGGAUCAUAAUUAGGUGGGCACCUUCCUUUUGCUGGGUCAAGAAAUUGGAUAAUUCAGCUGGAAUUACAAAGGGAAGAGCAAUUGGAGGAAGAUGAACUUCUGACCUUGUAAUUACAAAUCAGAGCUCUGCAGAAGAAAAUACAGUUGUGCCAGCUGGAGGUUGGGAGUUGGGAUUGUCAUCCCUGCAGCCACUUGGGAUGGUUCUCCAGGGAAGAUUCCACACAGAUUCCAACUCCUUGUAACCAAAUCCUGCUGCCCCAGACACCAUCACCUUCCUCAGGACAACAACUGAUGCCUUCACUGCUGAGGGAAAUGUGCAAGCCCUUAUUGCUCCUCAGGAGGUCACUGGGAAUGAUGUUAUCACUCCAUGGGGUCCCAGCACUGGC
RNAcentral lists this long non-coding RNA (460 nucleotides) under Parus major (Great Tit). RNAcentral's name for it is "lncRNA (ENSPMJG00000020002.1)". Lineage: Eukaryota; Metazoa; Chordata; Aves; Passeriformes; Paridae. The record is from RNAcentral.